GUUGCUGGAGCUGCAGACUCAGG
This 23-nucleotide non-coding RNA is filed under the name Cricetulus griseus (Chinese hamster). The record is from RNAcentral. Lineage: Eukaryota; Metazoa; Chordata; Mammalia; Rodentia; Cricetidae.